Molecule: ribosomal RNA, 256 nt
Filed under: uncultured bacterium
Lineage: Bacteria
Description: partial 16S ribosomal RNA
Rfam family: Bacterial small subunit ribosomal RNA
Source: RNAcentral
UACAGGGGGGGCAAGCGUUGUUCGGAAUUACUGGGCGUAAAGGGCUCGUAGGUGGCCAACUAAGUCAGACGUGAAAUCCCUCGGCUUAACCGGGGAACUGCGUCUGAUACUGGAUGGCUUGAGUUCGGGAGAGGGAUGCGGAAUUCCAGGUGUAGCGGUGAAAUGCGUAGAUAUAUGGAAGAACAUCAAUAACGGCGAAGGCAGUUAACUAUUCUGUUACUGACAUUGAGGCACGAAAGCGUGGGGAGCAAAACGG